GGGGAUAUAGCUCAGUUGGUAGAGUGUUGGCCUUGCAUGCACAAGGCCCUGGGUUCAAUUCCUGGCAACCCCC
This 73-nucleotide transfer RNA is filed under the name Ictidomys tridecemlineatus (thirteen-lined ground squirrel). RNAcentral's name for it is "Spermophilus tridecemlineatus (thirteen-lined ground squirrel) tRNA". It matches the Rfam family "tRNA". From Rfam's summary of the family: Transfer RNA (tRNA) molecules are approximately 80 nucleotides in length. Their secondary structure includes four short double-helical elements and three loops (D, anti-codon, and T loops). Lineage: Eukaryota; Metazoa; Chordata; Mammalia; Rodentia; Sciuridae. The record is from Rfam by way of RNAcentral.